RNAcentral lists this ribosomal RNA (490 nucleotides) under uncultured bacterium. RNAcentral's name for it is "partial 16S ribosomal RNA". It matches the Rfam family "Bacterial small subunit ribosomal RNA", at positions 28 to 507 of the family's 1533-position model. The record is from RNAcentral.
GAUGAACGCUAGCUACAGGCUUAACACAUGCAAGUCGAGGGGCAGCAUGGUCUUAGCUUGCUAAGGCCGAUGGCGACCGGCGCACGGGUGAGUAACACGUAUCCAACCUGCCGUCUACUCUUGGACAGCCUUCUGAAAGGAAGAUUAAUACAAGAUGGCAUCAUGAGUCCGCAUGUUCACAUGAUUAAAGGUAUUCCGGUAGACGAUGGGGAUGCGUUCCAUUAGAUAGUAGGCGGGGUAACGGCCCACCUAGUCUUCGAUGGAUAGGGGUUCUGAGAGGAAGGUCCCCUACAUUGGAACUGAGACACAGUCCAAAAUCCUACGGAAGGGAGCAGUGAGGAAUAUUGGGCAAUGGGCGAGAGCCUGAACCAGCCAAGUAGCGUGAAGGACGACUGCCCUCUGGGUUGUAAACUUCUUUUAUAAAGCAAUAAAGUCGGGUAUUGAUACCCGUUUGCAUGUACUUUAUGAAUAAGGAUCGGCUAACUCCGUG